Molecule: long non-coding RNA, 958 nt
Organism: Chroicocephalus ridibundus (black-headed gull)
Lineage: Eukaryota; Metazoa; Chordata; Aves; Charadriiformes; Laridae
Exons: 3
Source: RefSeq, a predicted model, not a curated record
UGCAUUUUCUUUGGUUUCAUCUCUGAUCCUGCUUUGCUCUCCAGCACUAAACAAAACACCAGUGGUCUAAUACAGUUGUUUCUCACUGCACCAAGUCAAAAUCAGCAAGCAUUCCUAGAUAAUACUUACUGUCACUUGGCUCAUGGUGGCCUGCUGUUUUGUCACCUCCUGGUCUUGGAUCCCACAGAGGAAUAAGGGCAGUAUAGAACUUGUAGCUCUAUAAAAAGUGUCAUCUUAAUAUCAGAGGAGGAGCUAGCCAUAAGGGCUUGGCUUCACAAAUGUAAAUAUUUCAUAAUUUAUUUAGUAAUGUGGCUUUUCUUUUUCCCCCAGGCAAAAGCUUUAAUAAAGGAAUAGGUCUACUGCAACAAAGGAAAUAACAGCAAAAAUGGAGACAAGGACACAUCCUAACCCCAUUAAUAUCAGUCGGAAUUUGCCUUCAUCUUCAGUGGGAGCAGAACUUCAAAGACCCGGGAAUCACCCAUAAAACCUGAAGGAUAAAAUCUGAACCUUCCGUCAUCUAUGACGCAAAUCGUGUUUAGAGGAUGGCAGUGUAGUCGCGACACAGUGGAAAUGUCCCCAGCAGGAGUUUCACAUCUUUGGCUUGACCACAGCCUUGUCCCCAGCGCUGCCAGAGUGGCUGUUAGUGUGUGGGCAGUUUCUUUGCCAGAAGAACCUCUCUGAGGCAGGACCAUGCAGGAGCCGGGCAAAGAUGAACCUUCUCUUGAUUUUCUAAGCUUGAGAGACCAGUUUUCAAAAGCUCUCUAGCAAAGCUAUUAUGUUACCAGUAUUACUCCAUCAGAAGAAACUGUUAAAGGAUCAUCAGAAAUACUGAGGGCAUAAUAGGAUGAAAGAUCGUGAGCCCAAAGUAAAGCAAAUCAUUGUGUCACCAAAAAGACGGACUUCUUCCUCAUGGACUGCUCUCCACGCAAAGCUGGACGGGUGCCCAGAGAAACAACAG